RNAcentral lists this ribosomal RNA (478 nucleotides) under uncultured bacterium. RNAcentral describes it as "SSU rRNA". It matches the Rfam family "Bacterial small subunit ribosomal RNA", at positions 26 to 518 of the family's 1533-position model. The record is from RNAcentral.
AGGACGAACGCUGGCGGCGUGCUUAACACAUGCAAGUCGAGCGAGGCCCUCUCUUCGGAGAGGUGCCCUAGCGGCGAACGGGUGAGUAACACGUGGGCAACCUGCCCCUAGCACUGGGAUAAGCCCGGGAAACCGGGUCUAAUACCGGAUAUGACCUUCAAGGGCAUCCUCGAAGGUGUAAAGGAUUCUGGCUAGGGAUGGGCCCGCGGCCUAUCAGCUUGUUGGUGGGGUAAUGGCCCACCAAGGCAACGACGGGUAGCCGGCCUGAGAGGGCGACCGGCCACACUGGGACUGAGACACGGCCCAGACUCCUACGGGAGGCAGCAGUGGGGAAUAUUGCACAAUGGGCAAAAGCCUGAUGCAGCGACGCCGCGUGAGGGAUGACGGCCUUCGGGUUGUAACCUCUUCAGCUCCGACGAAGCGAAAGUAGACGGUAGGAGGCAGAAGAAGCACCGGCCAACUACGCGCCAGCAGCCGC